Molecule: ribosomal RNA, 405 nt
Filed under: Triticum aestivum (bread wheat)
Lineage: Eukaryota; Viridiplantae; Streptophyta; Magnoliopsida; Poales; Poaceae
Description: partial small subunit ribosomal RNA
Source: RNAcentral
AUGAACAUACUGGACUACCUGAAGCCUGACAAAUUUCCAGAAAAGUAUAUCCUCAAACAGUACACAAAGACUGCAAAAUCACAACCAACAUUUGAUACAAGGGACUACAACACGACUGCAUCAGAUGGUAGCUCAAGACUAUCGAAGCAAGAGAUCUUGCUGCAGCUAAAUUUGAUGGUUAACAAGAAAGCGAUGAUAUGUGACCAGCAAUAUGAUAGAGCCUUCUAUGUUCUCAAGAGGCUAGUGGAAGAGCUUGAUGCAAUACAUUCAGUAAAUCGAGCGGAUGCUGACCAAAGGAUGGCUGAAGAGGAUGCUGAAAUUGAAGAUGACCUUCAUUAUUAUGUAGCUGAAAUGCUCCAGGCCGCUGCUCAAGCCAACCAAUCCAAGCAGGGUGUUGACAAAUGA